This 211-nucleotide ribosomal RNA is filed under the name Plasmodium falciparum (malaria parasite P. falciparum). Its description in RNAcentral is "partial 18S ribosomal RNA". The record is from RNAcentral. Lineage: Eukaryota; Apicomplexa; Aconoidasida; Haemosporida; Plasmodiidae.
UUUUUAAACUGGUUUGGGAAAACCAAAUAUAUUAUAUAUUUUGCUUUGUUCAAAAUAAGGUUUUCUAAUAAAUUAUGUUUUUAUCAGAUAUGACAGAAUCUUUUUUAAAAUCUCUUCAAUAUGCUUUUAUUGCUUUUGAGAGGUUUUGUUACUUUGAGUAAAAUUAAGUGUUCAUAACAGACGGGUAGUCAUGAUUGAGUUCAUUGUGUAA